UCUGUUUUCGUAUUUAUUGCAUCUUUUGCAUUUCAAUAGCCUAUACUUUGCUGUUGCAUAUUGUGCAUUUAUAUGGGUUUCCAUGAUUCCUUUUGCAUGUUUACACCUCUACUUCCACUCUUCUAUAGAUAUUUUUUUCUCAGAUUUAGGCCCUAUCUUCUUUCAGAUGAAUUAUUUUUAAUGAAAUUACCUCUGUAUUUCAGACCAUUGAGAUUCUUUUCAGCAAAAAGAUAUUAUUGAACAUGGAGGGCCAUACUCCAAUCUUCUAUGCUGGUGUUUUGGAUUCUCUGGCAGUGGAAUUGAAAGCGACAAAGGAUUUCUCCAAGUUAUAUGCUGGCAUUGCAAUACUUGGGUAUAUUGCUUCCGUUCCAGAAUCCGUCAACACCUGAGCCUUUUCUCAUCUUCUCACUUUCCUGGGCCAUAGAUAUCCCAAGAUCCGGAAGGCUUCUGCUGAACAAAUUUACCUUGUCCUCCUGCAAAAUGGAGAGCUUGUGACAGAGGAUAAGAUGGAGAAAGCGCUUGAAAUUAUUUCCGAAACUUGCUGGGAAGGUGAUAUAGAAGAAGCAAAACAGCGACGAUUAGAGUUGCAUGAUAUGGCUGGUCUAGAAACAGGGCUGCUUCCCAAAAUUGGGAAUGGAGCAUCAAACAGGGAUGGUGAGAAGAGGCCAACAGCCAGUGAUGAGAAUGCAUCAUACUCUUCCUUAGUUGGGUCAACUGGGUUCUGAUUGACUUGAAUUAAACCAUCCUUCAUGUUUGUUGUACAUUUUCAUCACUUCUCUUCACCUUAGACAUCUACCUCUCUAGCUUUUCCUGCAUGUCGCACAAUUUGCGUGACAUAAGUCUUGUUUGGAUAUACUUAUUGGAAGCGCAAGGUAUUUUUUUUUUGUG
Molecule: long non-coding RNA, 888 nt
Organism: Vitis vinifera (wine grape)
Lineage: Eukaryota; Viridiplantae; Streptophyta; Magnoliopsida; Vitales; Vitaceae
Exons: 3
Source: RefSeq, a predicted model, not a curated record